AUGCGUGAGGGGUGGACUCCACGACGGCGCCUCCAAGAAGGUGAAACGACGUCCACAGACGCCGACGCUGUCGGCCAGCAAGAGCGCGGCAAGCUUUCGCCCGGAGCAACACCCACACCCACACCCCCACGCAUAGCACCUCCGCUGACCCGCACACCUCCCACGAAGCCAUCGCGCCAUGACCAAGCAGGAGCCACCACAAUCCUCGUCGCCGGCCAGACGCCGACGAGCCGAACACGGCCGAAACAGGCCAGAUCCAGCAACCCACUGCUGCUGCUGCGCCACAGAAGAGCCCUGAGCAGGGAGGGAGGGCCGCCACCCCACCCCAACUCGCCGGACGAGCUACCAGAUCGGCAGUCGACCGGCCGAAGCCCCAGCCUGAACCACCACGGCACCUAG
Molecule: ribosomal RNA, 399 nt
Filed under: Triticum aestivum (bread wheat)
Lineage: Eukaryota; Viridiplantae; Streptophyta; Magnoliopsida; Poales; Poaceae
Description: partial small subunit ribosomal RNA
Source: RNAcentral